Molecule: long non-coding RNA, 2713 nt
Organism: Galleria mellonella (greater wax moth)
Lineage: Eukaryota; Metazoa; Arthropoda; Insecta; Lepidoptera; Pyralidae
Exons: 2
Source: RefSeq, a predicted model, not a curated record
CAAUUUAUUAAAUUAUAACAAAUAUGUCUCACUUUUAUCAAUGAUAAGUGUCAUGGUUCUGGAUUGGUGGAGGAGACGCUAGCCUGGGUUCGGGUCUGGACGCUGGCGCGCCCCAAAGAGAGUGGCAUAUCCCGUUUCUUAAAGCUUCGCUCGCCGAUACUCCUGUGGAAGAAAGUGAAAAUGAAAAACAUCUCUAGUCUUACAAUAAUAUAUAAAAGUAAUUCUUAUAUUCAGAUAUGGGGGGAAAGGGAUUGUUAACAAUGGAGUUUGACAGCCCCAUUGCUAGCAAUAUGCCCUAUUAGAUCGACCUCCACGUGGUUCCCCCUGGUUAACCGUUUCAUUACCACCCGUUAAAAAAAAUAUUCAGAUAUAUAUUCAUUAUUUAUAUUAUUGCUUGGAUUACAUCUCCAUAUGCAUUUAAAAUAGAAUUCUCAUCGUGCCUCCAAUCAAACUGUUUAUAAUUACUCCUCUCCAUCCAAAGGUCGCCCAUUGUUUUUUCACUGUGAUCAUUUCUUGUAAUUGUUUGUAUCUAUAAUAAGUUUACUAUUGUAAUCUUUUGAAGGAAAUAAUAAAGAGUAUUCUGAUCUAUUUGAUUUAUUGUAACAAAUUAAAAUUUUGUUUUUUAACCGGCUUCAAAAAGAAGGAAGAAUAUGAUCGUAUUUUUAUGUACUCAUACCAUAUGAACCGUUAACUAUCCACUGCUGAAUAUAGGCCACUCAUUUGGGAGGGUUUGUCAAUAGUUACCACGCUUUGCAGGCGGCUUGGCAACCGCUGUUAGGCUUUGGUGAUGUUUUAAAAGGGAUGCUGCUAUUUAUCUCUCGACCUUGUUCCUUUGGUCGCCGUCUAUGACACCUAUUAAAAAAGAAGAGGUGGCAUAUUCUAUGCCGGGAUAAUAUGGCAAAUUUACUCAUGUAUAUGAUAAAAGAACAACACUUUAGGCGAUUCUGGUAUGGCUGGCGAUUUUAGUAGCAUUUUUUUUUAAUUCAUAGAGUUUACUCCCGAAUCAGUCUCAUAUUAAUUUUGUUACACCAUUAGAAAAUACAUGGCUGUAUACCUACAUUUAUAAUAUAGAUUAAUAUUUCUUUUUUACCACAGACAAUAAUAAAAAAGCAAACUGUUAAAAAAUUCAUUGACCACAGAUUAAAUUUAAACCUAUCCAGAACAUAAAACUGUUUUGUAAUGUACAUAUAUAUAUAUUAUAUAUAUUCUACUAAAGGUUUGCCAAAGAAAAAUAUUCCAUUACUUUAACUGUUGAACUGCAAGCAAUACUGUAAACGAUGUUAAUAGUUUGAACUGAAAUUAAUUGGUUGACUAGCGAUGAAAGGAACAGUUAAACGUGUAAUAAAUUGACUAUUACUUGAGUAACUAUCGCUAUAAAACACUUAACCGUAAGUUUCAAUUUCACGUAUCUGAUGUUUUUUUUUUAAUACUCACGAAUAUAGCAAUUAUAUUUUUUUAUAAAUAAAAAGAAUUACUAUUGCAUGUUGACGUUUUUAUUUCUCUAUGUCUGAUAUUUGACCGUGUGGUCCCGGCAUAGAAUAGGCUUCUUACUUUCCUGUAGGUGUUGUAAGAGGUGACUAAGAAGGGCGAGGGAUGGGCAGCAGUGUCCCUCUUAAAAUAUCUCUAAAGCCUAAAUGCGGUUGUCAAUCCGCCUGUCAAGAGUGGCAACUAUUGACAAAACCCCCGAAGGGUGACUGUGUUCAACAGUGGAUAGUUAAAAGCUGAUGUGAUGAUGAUGAUGAUGAUGAUAAUGAUGAUGUGUGAUAUUGAAAAAGGGUAAAGGAAUUAUAUUUUACGUGAAUGUACUCGGAUAUACGUAGAAGAAUAGUAAAGGACAGAAAUAUGAUUUUCUGUCCUAUAAAUAUUUUUUUUAUUUUUAUUUUAUUUUAUUUUAUAAAUAUUACGUAUUAAAAAGGUUAAGAUAUCAUAAAUUUUACACAAUGUAAGAUUUGUUUAUCUGCGUUUUAUCAUUGACUUGAGUUAUUAUUAUAUUUUAUUGAUAUAAUACUGUGAGUUGAUAAAUCGUUUUGAAUUUUUUUUCUAUUGUCUUCAUAAUUUGUAAAUUACAUUUUUUUUUUAUUAAAUGUAUAUUAUAGUAUAAUGGGCGAAACAGUAUACUCUGUUAUGUCCAUGGUAGUGCUCAUGUCUCUAGGCGACGGUUACCACUUUUCAUCAAGUGGGCCGUCAGCUUGUUUGCCAUUCUAAGUUGUAUAAAAAACAAAAUGUAUUUAUGUUGUGUUAAUUUUGGAUAUUAACAAACACUUUUAAGCCAUUUUAAAAAAAAAGAUCUCAUUUUUUUCAAAUUGUUUAGUUUAACGAUUCUGUAUAAGUCCUAAAUAAGUCAGUAGUCAUUCAGCUAGCCAAAUUGUUGCCUAAGUACGGACCUGGUUUCUGCCCGCCUGUCUGACCCUCUUGACAAGUGGCAAGCGAAUCCAUCGAUGGAAAUGUUGUCGAAAACGAGUUCAUAAGUUUAAAUGAGACAUCCGACAAUGUUAUCUCAUUCUACCCAACAGAUUCGCUAGUGAUGUCGAUUCCGUCGAUGAAUUCUUUUGCCACUUGUUUAGAGAACUAGACCAGUAAGAUUAAUUAGUUGACUAUCUUGAACUAAGACUCAAUAAACCUUGAACUAAGGGUUUCGAGCGACUAGAGUAAAAUGUUAUAAAAAUACUGCAUAAAAGUAAAUAAAUGACUUUGGUGUGUGGUAGAAAUUUAA